GUAUGGACAGUAGCCUAGUGGACAUGGCAUCUGCCUGGUAAGCGGAACACAGUGGGUUCAAUUCCCAUCCCUGGACA
RNAcentral lists this transfer RNA (77 nucleotides) under Cordylochernes scorpioides. RNAcentral's name for it is "tRNA-Thr". The stretch from base 10 to 69 matches the Rfam family "tRNA", at positions 7 to 64 of the family's 71-position model. Rfam says of the family: Transfer RNA (tRNA) molecules are approximately 80 nucleotides in length. Their secondary structure includes four short double-helical elements and three loops (D, anti-codon, and T loops). Further hydrogen bonds mediate the characteristic L-shaped molecular structure. tRNAs have two regions of fundamental functional importance: the anti-codon, which is responsible for specific mRNA codon recognition, and the 3' end, to which the tRNAs corresponding amino acid is attached (by aminoacyl-tRNA synthetases). tRNAs cope with the degeneracy of the genetic code in two manners: having more than one tRNA (with a specific anti-codon) for a particular amino acid; and 'wobble' base-pairing, i.e. permitting non-standard base-pairing at the 3rd anti-codon position. Lineage: Eukaryota; Metazoa; Arthropoda; Arachnida; Pseudoscorpiones; Chernetidae. The record is from RNAcentral.